Molecule: non-coding RNA, 314 nt
Organism: Lolium perenne
Lineage: Eukaryota; Viridiplantae; Streptophyta; Magnoliopsida; Poales; Poaceae
Source: RefSeq, a predicted model, not a curated record
UCUCUUCACAAGCUUCACAAGUGGGUGUUAGGUUUGCUUUUGGUUCCUCUUAUGCACAUAAGGUGUUUGAUGAAAUGCCCCAAGAGCAUGAAACAAACAUGAUAUGAAGUGUUGGAGCCACACUUGAGCUUUCUCAUUUAUUUUUUCCUCCUCGAUCGCGAUGAAUCGACAAUGGAUGUACGGUAACCGACUCUCCGGCGAGUUCAGUGCGGGUUUGAAAGAUUUCCUCGUAGUGGCUAAUGCGAACAAGCAGGAGGGUUUUGUUAUCUGUCCAUGUGUUAAAUGUAAGAAUCAGAAGGGUUACUCUUCCUCAA